Molecule: long non-coding RNA, 257 nt
Filed under: Elaeis guineensis (African oil palm)
Lineage: Eukaryota; Viridiplantae; Streptophyta; Magnoliopsida; Arecales; Arecaceae
Description: long non-coding RNA (EGUI_LNC059163)
Source: RNAcentral
CUUCCCCCAACCUCCGACUAUCCUCAAGGUCUUGUAAAGAAGUGCAUAGAUGAAUACUAAAUCCAGAGUCAAACACCCAAUUGAAUGCAGAAAAAACUAUUAGGUUAGUUUCUAUAAUAAGCAUAGCUUCAGAAGGUCCACUUGUUAGAUGUAUGCCCUAGAAACCAAAUUGAUCGAUACUUAUAAUACUUUCUUAGGACAUAUUUGGUAAUAUUGACUUAUCAUUAAUAAAAUUAGAUUUAUUUUCAUUCAAAUCU